This 497-nucleotide ribosomal RNA is filed under the name uncultured bacterium. Its description in RNAcentral is "partial 16S ribosomal RNA". It matches the Rfam family "Bacterial small subunit ribosomal RNA", at positions 28 to 507 of the family's 1533-position model. The record is from RNAcentral.
GAUGAACGCUGGCGGCGUGCCUAAUACAUGCAAGUCGAGCGAACGGACGAGAAGCUUGCUUCUCUGAUGUUAGCGGCGGACGUGUGAGUAACACGUGGAUAACCUACCUAUAAGACUGGGAUAACUUCGGGAAACCGUAGCUAAUACCGGAUAAUAUUUUGAACCGCAUGGUUCAAAAGUGAAAGACGGUCUUGCUGUCACUUAUAGAUGGAUCCGCGCUGCAUUAGCUAGUUGGUAAGGUAACGGCUUACCAAGGCAACGAUGCAUAGCCGACCUGAGAGGGUGAUCGGCCACACGGGAACUGAGACACGGUCCAGACUCCUACGGGAGGCAGCAGUAGGGAAUCUUCCGCAAUGGGCGAAAGCCUGACGGAGCAACGCCGCGUGAGUGAUGAAGGUCUUCGGAUCGUAAAACUCUGUUAUUAGGGAAGAACAUAUGUGUAAGUAACUGUGCACAUCUUGACGGUACCGAAUCAGAAAGCCACGGCUAACUACGUG